UAUUGUAAUUUUUCUACCUUCAACCCAUCUGCUGUAUGAGGAUUUCUACAACCCCUGCAUCUACAUUCAACGCAAGGUUUACUUUCAACGUAACAAGGACAACGUUGACCACAACAUGUUAAUUUCCCAGAAAAUUGGACUAAAGUAAGGAUUAUAGAUUAAUGCAGACAUAAGUAUUUAAUGAAUAAAAAACAUAAUAUGUCAUAAAAUGCAAUGUAAAGUUAAUAUCUGCAUCAAUCUUAGUAUGGGACCUAGCAAAAUAUAUAUUCAAAUUUAAACUAGUGUUAGUCUUGAAAUAUAAUAAAGAAUGUUAAUUGAAUAUAAGCUACGUUAUUAAGUGUUAUACAAAUCUAGAAAUAUGAUUGUACCUUACAAGUAAUAUUAACGAGGAUGCACGUCAUUUAGCAUUUAAAUAAAAGUUAUAGUGCAAUGUAAA
Long non-coding RNA from Bombus terrestris (buff-tailed bumblebee), 436 nucleotides. RefSeq lists it as uncharacterized. Lineage: Eukaryota; Metazoa; Arthropoda; Insecta; Hymenoptera; Apidae. The record is from RefSeq and is a predicted model, not a curated record. The transcript has 2 exons.